AUGGAACUCUUUUACCAGUGAAGAUAAGAAUGUAAAUCUACUUUCUUUUUUCUGCUGCAGAGACUGAAACCGGGAAAGAGGGAAUGACUUUUAAACACAAGAGCACAGAAAAGGGAAUUGGAAUCAGGAAAUGAACCUGCAGACAAGGAGUUUAAGAGCAUUUUAAUUUUUACAGACAAAACCCAGUAUACAAGACACAACUGAAAAAGAGGAUUGUUAUCCAAAGAGAAAGCUAGCGAAGGUUUGUGUCCCAAAAGGAGAACUGAACAAGAGAAGACUCAACUAUGCUACGUCCUUGGAAGUUGUCCUGAACCCAUUACAUGUACCGCCUUGAGUAUAUGCUGGACAAUUGCAAUUCAUGUUGGCAAUAUCAACAUCAUACAGCUUUUCAGGACUGCUUUGAGAAGGAACUCUACAUUCUGUCCUUGUGACCCACUGCGAAUAAAUCAACCUGUAGGCAUCCCUUGAUGCAAUCCAGUUUUAUGACAGCCAUGCAUAGUGAUUUGGACGAUUUUCAACAGAUAAUUUCAUUCCAAACCAUUUUUAUGCUUGGGAACAAUAUGUUUAUACUGUUUCUUCUUCUUUUUUUCCUUUCUUCCCCGAAUUUUUUUUGUCCGCAAUUGUUCUGAUAGAACCGCUCAUCCGAUUGAGAUGAAACCGUUUUAGGGUUAAUAGGCAUGUUGUGUAGAUGUACAGAAUGAUGGCCAUUUUGCACUCACAUGCAUGAAUGUGUUUGAGCAUAUGCGAUGAUUUAAAUCACUGCUAUAAUUGAAAUAGUUUUAACUUUCCCAUUUUUUUAAAAAAUGCUUUGAAACCCAGAAUAUUGACAUACAUUAGUAGUGGAAACAAGACUAUGUGGUUGAAUUAGCAAGAAAGCCCGGGAUGCACUUGCGCUUCACUCUGAUAGGCUGACAAAAAAAAUCUUUCUUUCUUCUUUUUCUUUUCUUAAAAAUAUGCUUUGAAAUUUAAAAUAUAGGCAUAUAUCAUGAGGUUCUACAAUUUGAAAUAUAAUAAAUUUCUUUAAAACAGCAACUUUGAUUGCAAGAUUGGUAUUAUGUGUUCCCACAGUAUGGUACUAUCAAAACUUAACAGAAGAACAUGUAUGUACAUGUGCUGAAUUCUGAUUGGCUAAUACUUAAAUGGAUAUAGGCUUAUACUUCAAUGGAUGCAUCUCUCACAGUUCAUUUCUCAAUGUAAAUCUUUGAGACUUAACACAUAGAAAUUUAUUGUGAGUCUCUUUAAGAAGAUAUAAAUGAGAAAUCUAGAAAAUAUGUGCUUGCACAUGCACUGAAAUUAUACCGAUGUUAUUUUUCGAUAAAUACUUUGGGAAAAAUGUAGAUAUAUUUACAAAUAAAAUCAUUGAAGCUGGUAUGGAAUGGGGUAACAUAGGUUAUGAGAUUGAUCACUGUUCGUUAUCUUCACCUUGCAUAGAGGAGCUGUAUUGGAACAUCUGCAAGGAAUACCGUUACAAUGAGCACUACUUAUUACCGUAUUAUUAUUUUUCUUAAUCAUGUAUAAUAUAUUUUUUUCUGUUAAUAUUGAAUUUCACGAAAAACGAUUUUUGAUCAGUAUUAUAUCAAAUUGUACAUUUUUGUCAACACAGUGUGUGCUAGUUUGGUGGGUCUAAAUGACAAAAUCUUGUUGAUGUGAAAAAUGUCAUUUAUUAAUGUAAAUGACAGGUAAUAUGCAAUGGUAAAUACAACCAAUAAUAAACAAGAUAUACAUGAUGAAA
This is a long non-coding RNA of Ostrea edulis (European flat oyster), 1732 nucleotides long. RefSeq lists it as uncharacterized. Lineage: Eukaryota; Metazoa; Mollusca; Bivalvia; Ostreida; Ostreidae. The transcript is spliced from 7 exons. The record is from RefSeq and is a predicted model, not a curated record.